AAAACUCUAGAGAUAGAGCUUUCCCCUUCGGGGGACAAAGUGACAGGUGGUGCAUGGUUGUCGUCAGCUCGUGUCGUGAGAUGUUGGGUUAAGUCCCGCAACGAGCGCAACCCUUAAGCUUAGUUGCCAUCAUUAAGUUGGGCACUCUAGGUUGACUGCCGGUGACAAACCGGAGGAAGGUGGGGAUGACGUCAAAUCAUCAUGCCCCUUAUGAUUUGGGCUACACACGUGCUACAAUGGACAAUACAAAGGGCAGCUAAACCGCGAGGUCGUGCAAAUCCCAUAAAGUUGUUCUCAGUUCGGAUUGUAGUCUGCAACUCGACUACAUGAAGCUGGAAUCGCUAGUAAUCGUAGAUCAGCAUGCUACGGUGAAUACGUUCCCGGGUCUUGUACACACCGCCCGUCACACCACGAGAGUUUGUAACACCCGAAGCCGGUGGAGUAACCAUUUAUGGAGCUAGCCGUCGAAGGUGGGACAAAUGAUUGGGGUGAAGUCGUAACAAGGUAGCCGUAUCGGAAGGUGC
This 524-nucleotide ribosomal RNA is filed under the name uncultured bacterium. RNAcentral describes it as "bacterial SSU rRNA". It matches the Rfam family "Bacterial small subunit ribosomal RNA", at positions 994 to 1515 of the family's 1533-position model. The record is from RNAcentral.